RNAcentral lists this long non-coding RNA (1251 nucleotides) under Sus scrofa (pig). Its description in RNAcentral is "lncRNA (ENSSSCG00035001322.1)". The record is from RNAcentral. Lineage: Eukaryota; Metazoa; Chordata; Mammalia; Artiodactyla; Suidae.
GCUGCCGCGCGCCCGCCACCGCCGCUCGGCUCCACACCGCCAGCGCAGCCCCGCCACGAGACUCUGACAGCCGCGCGGCCCGCGCUGCUCGGGCGCACAGGGACUGACGGACGGCGGCGGUGGCGAGGGAGGACUGAGGACCGCUGCCCCGCGCCUAGUCCGGGAGGCGUGCAGGUCCAGCGGCGGAUAGAGGUCUCCUCUGAAGCAGCUGGAGCUCAGCGGGCCUCAUCACCCCUGAGGAGCAGGCCAGCCAAGAGAGCAGAAAGGGAUGGCGGGAAGCCCACCAGGGCCCGAGGAGUGACCCUCAGCUACAGCUCCUGGGACCUGGAGGCUCCUAGUCGGGGGACUGCACCAUUGGGGAGACUCAAGAAGAAUUGAUAUGUCAGUCCCUGGUGACAUGUACACGGUGUAAUGACAGUUACCACGGUGGAUCCAGCUGAUAAAGAAGUAGUGCACAACACUUCCCUCCCCUGACAUACACACAGACAUGCACCUGAUCUGAAUGUCCUACACCAAGAUGGACGGAUGACAACAAUAAUAUUUUGAGGCUGGGUAUCAAACCAAGAGAGGAAUAUUUGUCAGAAGAGGUACUAAAAAUCUGAGUAUAGUGGUAACUGAAGCCAAAGAUAUGGAGACCUGAUAUAGGGUAAAAUGAACACAGACUGGGUUCUGAAUCUCUCAGGGAAAGGGGUGCCCAAGUCUGGGGCCCAGUAUUAGGAAACUAGUGUCAUAAUCCCAGGAGCUGUGAAGGGUGGUCUCUUCCAUAAAAUGAGAACCAUGAAUACUCACUCAUCAGUCCAGGGAAUCCAGAGACACAGUCAUCUUCCAAGCACCAGAAGUGAAAAAACAAACAACACAGACAAAAAUUUUACGCAUUAGAAUAUGGAAUCAUAACCUGAUUUCAUACCUAAAACAAUCAAAACUCUCCCAUUAAAGACAGAAAAUCUUGCAUUGAAAAAAGAUUUUUUUUUAAAGGACAAUGUCCAGGUACCUGCAGUGUACAAGACACCCAUACAAUGUAAUGACACACAAAAAUUGAGAGCCAAGGAUUGGGAGAAAAUAUACAGUGCAGAAAACAAGAGAAAGCUGGUGUUUUCAGGGUAUAACAAUUUAGAAAGUAAGGAGAAAAGCAUAAAUAGAGAAAGAUCAUUGAUUAAUGAUAAGAGGGAUAGUCUAUUAGGACAUAUAGCAAUUACAAAUCUUUAUGUACCGAACAACAUAGCCUCAAAAUAACAGAAACAGAAAUUUGAA